GUGCUCACCUUGGCAGCACAUAUACUGAUAUUGGAACAAUACAGGGAAGAUUAGCAUGGUCCCUGCGCAAGGAUGAUAUGCAAAUUUGUAAAGUGUUCCAUAUUUAA
Suncus etruscus (white-toothed pygmy shrew) is the source of this 107-nucleotide small nuclear RNA. The record is from RefSeq and is a predicted model, not a curated record. NCBI's taxonomy places the organism in Eukaryota, Metazoa, Chordata, Mammalia, Eulipotyphla, Soricidae.